UACGUAGGUGGCAAGCGUUACUCGGAAUCACUAGGCGUAAAGCGCAGGUAGGCGGUUUGGUAAGUCUUUUGUGAAAGCUCCCGGCUCAACUGGGAGAGGUCAAAGGAAACUACUAGGCUAGAGUGUGGUAGGGGAUACUGGAAUUCCUGGCGUAGCGGUGAAAUGCGUAGAUAUCAGGAGGAAUACCUAUGGCGAAAGCAGGUAUCUGGGCCAUCACUGACGCUGAGCUGCGAAAGCUAGGGGAGCAAACAGG
Molecule: ribosomal RNA, 253 nt
Filed under: uncultured bacterium
Lineage: Bacteria
Description: partial 16S ribosomal RNA
Rfam family: Bacterial small subunit ribosomal RNA
Source: RNAcentral